This 75-nucleotide transfer RNA is filed under the name Escherichia coli. Its description in RNAcentral is "tRNA-Thr(tgt)". It matches the Rfam family "tRNA". Rfam says of the family: Transfer RNA (tRNA) molecules are approximately 80 nucleotides in length. Their secondary structure includes four short double-helical elements and three loops (D, anti-codon, and T loops). Lineage: Bacteria; Pseudomonadati; Pseudomonadota; Gammaproteobacteria; Enterobacterales; Enterobacteriaceae. The record is from RNAcentral. RNAcentral also lists the same sequence under 1 other name.
GCCUCAAUAGCAAAAUUGGUAAUGCACACGAUUUGUAAUCGUGAGAUUUUUCCGUUCGAGUCGGAAUUGGGGCAC